AGCAUUCAAUACACAGAGAUUUAAGCAAUAGUUAUCAAGUUUGAGAAAACCUUACCGAGAGCAAAAACCCAGCUCUGCAGGGAGAGAGCUUUACCGGGAGAGAGCAUACCAGGGGAACCCCCCCUCUCUCUCUCGUUUGCUCCCUCUCCGCCAGUGUGGGGGGCUCAGUCUUU
This is a long non-coding RNA of Notothenia coriiceps (black rockcod), 173 nucleotides long. RefSeq lists it as uncharacterized. The record is from RefSeq and is a predicted model, not a curated record. NCBI's taxonomy places the organism in Eukaryota, Metazoa, Chordata, Actinopteri, Perciformes, Nototheniidae. The transcript has 3 exons.